This is an RNA transcript of Trichomycterus rosablanca, 3327 nucleotides long. It is a transcript of the gene named ring finger and SPRY domain containing 1, with no coding region annotated. NCBI's taxonomy places the organism in Eukaryota, Metazoa, Chordata, Actinopteri, Siluriformes, Trichomycteridae. The record is from RefSeq and is a predicted model, not a curated record. The transcript is spliced from 20 exons.
ACUCGCUAGCGCAGAGCUAACGGAGCGGAGCGCCAGUUAGCAUUAGCACAACAUUACACUUCCUGUAUGAGUCGCAUUAGGCCCGGUACCCACCGCUACUGCUGCUUUUCCCUCAGGACCUGGACUAAUCUGUUGCUUUCUUUUUAUCCUGAGUGAAGGCUCCCUGCUGUAGGAUGCUUGUUGAAUGCAGCAGUAAACUCUGUGGCUGUUUUCUGCUCAGCUGCUGAUGGUCUGCAGUAGCACGAUGAUCGACGUCCCCACACACCCCAUCCCGAGGCGCCACCCAGAGUCCUUCAAAUGAUAUGAUAGUAGCCACCUGGUUUGCAUUCUGUGCCAGCAGGAGCCUUGCACAGGUUCUGCGUCUGACUGUCGAACAGCUACGAUCUGUCCAUUUGUGGCGGUGCCUCGUGCGCCGUGGAGCCAUGGGAAACAGCUGUGUGUGCAGAGAGGACAGCGAUGCUGAGGAGGGACCAGCGCCUCGCAGGCAACUCCGGCGAGUUGAAAACUCGGAACCCCCAGAGGCAAGGAGCAUCCGACCCAGGGAUCCCGUCCGACCACCCAGGCGUGGCCGCGGACCGCACGAGCCACGCCGGAAAAAGCAGAACGUGGACGGUCUGGUACUGGAUACACUAGCUGUUAUCAGGACUCUGGUUGACAAUGAUCAAGAGCCUCCUUACUCCAUGAUAACAUUACACGAGAUGGCAGAAACUGAUGAUGGUUGGCUGGAAGUAGUGCAGUCCUUGAUCAGAGUUAUUCCUCUGGAUGACCCGUUAGGCCCGGCUGUUAUCACUCUGCUGCUGGAUGAGUGCCCUCUGCCCACCAAAGACGCUCUGCAGAAGUUGUCAGAUAUGUUAAAUCUGAGCGGCGAUGUUGCCCGCCAGGAUGCCCUAAUUCCAGCCAAACACCGUAACACCACUGCAGUGCUGGGCUGCCUAGCCGAGAAACUCGCUGGUCCAGCAAGCAUUGCACUUCUCAGCCCAGGAACACUGGAGUAUUUACUGGAGAGCUUGAGUUCUGAGGCUCAUCCUACUGUAAUGCUCUUUGCCCUCAUUGCUCUGGAGAAGUUUUCCCAGACUAGUGAAAACAAGCUGACGGUCUCAGAGUCAUGCAUCGGUGAGCGACUAGCUGUCCUGGAGUCCUGGGCGGAUCAUCCGGACUAUCUUAAACGUCAGGUUGGCUUCUGUGCACAGUGGAGCCUAGACAACCUCUUUUUAAAAGAAGGUCGCCAUUUCACCUAUGAGAAGGUCAACCUGAACAACAUCAACGCCAUGCUUAACAGCAACGACGUCAGUGAAUAUCUCAAGAUCUCUCCCAGUGGACUAGAGGCACGCUGUGAUGCAUCGUCGUUCGAGAGUGUGCGCUGUACGUUCUGUGUGGACUCAGGGGUCUGGUACUAUGAGGUCACAGUCAUCACCUCGGGGGUCAUGCAGAUCGGCUGGGCCACCAAGGAUAGCAAGUUCCUUAAUCACGAGGGUUAUGGGAUUGGGGAUGACGAGUACUCCUGUGCGUACGACGGCUGCAGGCAGCUGAUUUGGUAUAACGCGCGCAGUAAACCUCACUCCCACCCCUGUUGGAAAGAAGGUGAUGCCAUCGGUUUCUUGUUGGAUCUCAGUAAGAAGCAGAUGAUUUUCUACCUGAAUGGAAAUGCUCUUCCUCCUGAGAAGCAGGUGUUUUCUUCAGCCACGUCUGGCUUCUUUGCAGCUGCCAGUUUCAUGUCCUACCAACAGUGUGAAUUUAACUUCGGGGCCAAACCCUUCCGCCACCCCCCAUCUCUCAAGUUCAGCACCUUUAAUGAGUUCGCCUCGCUCGCGUCAGACGAGAAGAUAAUCCUGCCCAGGCACAGACGCCUAGCUCUUUUGAAGCAGGUGAGCAUCAGAGACAACUGCUGUACCCUCUGCUGUGACAAAAUGGCAGACACAGAGCUGAGACCUUGUACACACAGUGGGAUUUGUAUGGAGUGUGCCUUACAGCUGGAGACAUGCCCAUUGUGUCGUCAGGACAUUCAGACGCGAGUCAGACUCAUUUCCCAUGUGUCCUGACAUCAGCUCACGAAGCCAAGACACAAACAAAUUCCCCAAGCUUCCAUCCCAUCCAGUUCUGUCCAAGAAAGCCCACCUGACUGAUAAAAUCAUGGCGCUGUUUCAGGGUGGAAUGCUGCAGCGACAAACGCUGUGACGAAAAGAGGGCUGGAUCUUUCUUUCUCCUGAAGAAUGCAUACCUCCAAGAAGGAGAGAUAGAGAGGAACAUGUGGCUCACAAGACGGCCAUCCCCGGUCAGAAAGGUGGGGGAGUCCUAGAGAAGAAGAAAAAACGUCUGAGUAGGAACCAGAGUACCCGUAACAAACUUGUUUGGAUACUACAUGAGCAACAUCAUUGACCAACCCUCCAAAAAAGUGCAAUUUCAUAAGAAUUGCAGGGACUAGAAGACACCUGACUGUGGGGAUUCUACUGAUGGGAGCAAAUCCUGUUCUCCAGCCGCAAAUGAAAAUACACAGACAAAUAUAGAAUUUCCAGUAACAACAAAUCAACCAGCCAUGAAUGAACUGUAUAGCACCAGCAGCUAAAUGCCUUGAAAAAUUGACCGCAACAUGCCCAGAGAGCAGGCUUUGGAGUUGAUAAUGGCUGAGAUUGGACAUGGGAACGGUGCCCGGCCACAGCGUGACCCGGCGGAGGCAGCGGCAAGGGCUACCAAACUCACCGAGGACUACCUGGAGCGAGUAAACCUUGAGUGCCAUGCUGUGCCCUGCACCACUCGCCACCUGCUCUACCUGAUGGCUGAGGGCCUACACCGAUACCCAGAAGAGCUGGACUACAUUGCUGAGUACCUACACAACCGGCAGGUCCAUCUGCAAGAAUGUUCUCCAAAAGUAGAUGAUGAAGUGGCUCUUGAGUCUCCCUGCGAAUUUGGAGACUCCCACACCUCUUUGAUCUACUCCAGUCUGCCCUGGUCCACCACUAAAUGAGCAUCCAACUCUUUCCUCAGGUCCGGUGAAUCAGAUCAGGUGUUCGGUUAAUUACUUUAUUUAGACACGGCAACCAAUCAGCUACAGUUAAGUGUAGUGUAAAUAGUCAAAGAAGUUGAAAGAACUAGGUUCCUAUUGAUUGGCUGCUUUACAUUGCACCUGGAUAUCAGUACCUACGUAAAUGAUAGGUGCAAUGUUAUGUUAUAGGUCCACUUAGUGCCAGUAUAUAGAUAGAAUUUAGCCCACUAGAUUUUUAGCUUGUUUUUAUUCUGUGUCAAUGGAUGCUUUAUGUAUGUAAGAAGUUGUUUGUCUGAUGUGAGCUGCCGUAACAAAGACAUUUUCUGCAAAUGAUCAAUAAAGAAUCA